This is a long non-coding RNA of Hemicordylus capensis (graceful crag lizard), 934 nucleotides long. RefSeq lists it as uncharacterized. The transcript has 4 exons. Lineage: Eukaryota; Metazoa; Chordata; Lepidosauria; Squamata; Cordylidae. The record is from RefSeq and is a predicted model, not a curated record.
UUCACCUUUUCCAUGCAGCCUUGGGAGCUGGAAUUGCUCACUCUCCUUCCCUCCCGCGCCACACAACAUCAGGGGACAUUUAAAAAGUAGGAGGGAAGGAAUGCAGCACCAGCAACCUGAGCGACAGAGAGAGUUUACUUGCUUUGGAAUGCAUCAGCGGAUUCAACUGUGAGAAGCAUCGUGUGAGUCUGGGACAGUAUAAAUCUGUGAUGGUUCAUUCACACAACCAUACGGUGCUGCAUUAGGAACAGACACUUGUGAACGAGUCAGACACCAAGAUCCCGUUUAGCGGUAGCGUGAACUUGGAAGUCACAAGAAGGAGUAGUAUGCCACUGCCCUGCUUUUGAAGAGGCUGCACAUUCCACGACUAAAGAGUUCAGCACCAGAUGCCGCAUCAGAUAAGUGUUGUCCUCUUGUACUCUGUACAAUCUUUCUAAUUUUCUUGAUGUCGGUGUAGAUGUUUGCAGCACCUCUCAUGCCAGCUGGGCUGCCUUUGUAAUCACAGGCAGCAUGGGAAGUGCUACUGGGUGCAUCACCCUUGCCUUAGCCAUCAUAUUAUAAACUGGGUAUUUAAGAUCUACUUUGGGUUGCUUCAGUUCCAACCCCAGAGCCUCAGCCAUUUCUCUUAUUUGUGCAUGAUAGGCUUUCAGCUCUUCUGAGGGCGACAAGGAAGUCUUAGGUGGCGCCUCUGCUGGUGGAUCUGGAUCAUCACCCCCUCCAUAAUCCGUUUCCGAUGAAUCUGUAGUCUAUCUCCUUCAUCUUCAUUCUCAUCUUCUGGGGGACGGCAACAACUUCCUGCUCUAACUCCAGGGUGCAAGGAGCCACCACAACCCCAGACACCGGCCGUGUCCCACAGAACUCCAGGGCAUACCCCAGAUGUAUGAUUGUGAGGACCCACUGGUUUGUAGUCACUUUGUCCCAGCUUGCCAAGAAU